AUUUGAGGCUGCCUAGCCGGUGCCGGUAUUACAGUAAUACUGGCAAUACAAAUGUCUAUCUCAAUAUAAACAGAGAUUAUUCUGCAAUACCAGCGCCAGCCAGUAGGGGUCGCUGUUUGUGUGGAGAGAGGCAGGGAUAAGAAGUUACAGCAUUUGGACAACUUUAUAUUCUUUAUCUAUUUCUGCAUAUAUCAUCUAUUUUCUGAGUAGGUAGAGGUAUAGCAAGUUGGCUUUGGG
Molecule: non-coding RNA, 237 nt
Organism: Pelobates cultripes (western spadefoot toad)
Lineage: Eukaryota; Metazoa; Chordata; Amphibia; Anura; Pelobatidae
Source: the annotation of a GenBank genome assembly